Molecule: ribosomal RNA, 253 nt
Filed under: uncultured bacterium
Lineage: Bacteria
Description: partial 16S ribosomal RNA
Rfam family: Bacterial small subunit ribosomal RNA
Source: RNAcentral
UACGUAGGGUGCAGGCGUUAAUCGGAAUUACUGGGCGUAAAGCGUGCGCAGGCGGCCUCUUAAGUCAGAUGUGAAAUCCCCGGGCUUAACCUGGGAACUGCGCUUGAAACUGGGAGGCUAGAGUGUGGAAGAGGGGGGUGGAAUUCCAGGUGUAGCAGUGAAAUGCGUAGAGAUCUGGAGGAACACCGAUGGCGAAGGCAGCCCCCUGGGCUGACACUGACGCUCAUGCACGAAAGCGUGGGGAGCAAACAGG